GAUGAACGCUGCGGCGUGCCUAAUACAUGCAAGUAGAACGCUGAAGCUUGGUGCUUGCACCGAGCGGAGGAGUUGCGAACGGGUGAGUAACGCGUAGGUAACCUGCCUCUUAGCGGGGGAUAACUAUUGGAAACGAUAGCUAAUACCGCAUAAAAGUCGACAUUGCAUGAUGUUGACUUGAAAGGUGCAACUGCAUCACUAAGAGAUGGACCUGCGUUGUAUUAGCUAGUUGGUGAGGUAACGGCUCACCAAGGCGACGAUACAUAGCCGACCUGAGAGGGUGAUCGGCCACACUGGGACUGAGACACGGCCCAGACUCCUACGGGAGGCAGCAGUAGGGAAUCUUCGGCAAUGGACGGAAGUCUGACCGAGCAACGCCGCGUGAGUGAAGAAGGUUUUCGGAUCGUAAGGCUCUGUUGUAAGAGAAGAACGAGUGUGAGAGUGGAAAGUUCACACUGUGACGGUAACUUACCAGAAAGG
Molecule: ribosomal RNA, 480 nt
Filed under: Streptococcus parasanguinis
Lineage: Bacteria; Bacillati; Bacillota; Bacilli; Lactobacillales; Streptococcaceae
Description: bacterial SSU rRNA
Rfam family: Bacterial small subunit ribosomal RNA
Source: RNAcentral